Long non-coding RNA from Acipenser ruthenus (sterlet), 431 nucleotides. RefSeq lists it as uncharacterized. The transcript is spliced from 4 exons. Lineage: Eukaryota; Metazoa; Chordata; Actinopteri; Acipenseriformes; Acipenseridae. The record is from RefSeq and is a predicted model, not a curated record.
UGGCGGUGUUGGCGGUGUUGGCGGUGUUGGCGGUGUUGGCGAUUUUCUCAUCCAGUGAAGGCAUCGCCCAGCCUGGAAACCUUUAUUUUGCCAUGUGGCUGAUGCUGCAGCAGGAUGAGCCGGAAGACUUUGUUAUAGCGACUCGAGAGGUCCAUAGUGUCCGAGAGUUAGUGGAAAAGGCAUUCAAGCAUGUCAGAAAAAACAUUGUGUGGGAAGGUAAAAACGAGAAUGAAGUUGGCCAUUGCAAUGAGACAGGAGUGAUUUGAUGUGAGGGUUGAUCUCAAAUACUACAGGCCCACUGAUGUGCUCCAGACAGCAUGCAACACCCACUUCCUGUGACACUCAAUAUUACCCUGUCAGAUGCUCUUUGGGGUGGUCUCAUACACAGCUGUGAGUUUUACAAAGCAAUUGUGUUUACAGGCAAGUUACAA